GAUUAGCCUUUGCUUAUGCAAAGAGGAAUCUACAAGGGUACUAUUUCUCAACUAACAAAUGUUGUUUUAAGUUGAGUCAAGGUUCACCAAUCUACUAGGCUUUGAAUUUCAUGGGUAAUGUUUUGUUUUUUAGUGCAUACAAGCAUGAUUCCGCCUUUAAAUUUGUUAAUUGCAUGCUAUAGAUGUUAUUCAAAUGAACAUGUUUUCACAAAAUUUCCUUCAAGUGGUAUUAGAGCCUAGGUCUAGUAGUUGGUGAAUCCUUUUGGGUUUUGUAUUUUCAUAGUUUAUGAUUUGAAUGUUGUAAUUGUUACAAGCUUUAUUCUUGCUUCUUUGAAUGUAAAUUUUGUUAGAAAAUUUGCCAUCUCAAAUGUUGUAGAUGUAGUUCAUAUGAGCAUGAAUAUUGGAGCUAAAAUUUGGUGCCAUGUUGAUAGGAGCAUAUUUAUGCUACUUAAUUGGCUUGUUCUCAUGCAUUUAGGUUGUGUUUACUUAGCUAUUUUAGUGUUUAAAGUCACUUUUGUGUGUUUUCAGGUUCUAAGGUCAAAGUGUGCAAAAAGAAGCAAAAUGGAGUUUGGAAUGCAUGUCACAUAUUUGGAGCCAAGGUUUGGACGAAUUUGAAGGCUUGAAGAUAAUGAUUCCUACUUGAACAAGGUUUCCUAGUUGAAGUAGGAAAGUGCUUACAUGACGAAGGAUUCCUAAUUGACGAAGGAUUCCUAAUUGAAGAUGGAUUCCUAAUCACAUGAGGAUUCCUAGAAGAACAAGGAUUCCUACUCCAACAAGGUUUCCUACUUUGGUUUGAUUUUUCCUAAUUGUCCCUAAAAGUUCCAGCAAUUAUGAAGAUUUUCUAAGCAUUCUAGGACACAAAACAAAAGCCUAGAACCCUUAUGGACCCCUUGCCACACUCCCUUGCCCUUUCAUCUUCCUUGCCGUGCAAGGGAGAGGGCUCUUUCCUGUUUUGGAGCAUUAAAACACCUUCCUUUUAUUGCUUUAAACCCUGGCCGAAUUUCCUUGACCUUUCCUUUUAAUUUUCUGAUUUGUUUCCUUAAUUCUAGAAGCUUUAAACUUAAUUCCUGAUUACCUAAUUAGCCUAGGGUUUUUAAUUUCCUAAUCCCUUUAAAUAAACAGGUUUGUGCAGCCAAAAACAUCUCCAUUCAGCCACACACUCUCCCAAAUUCGUCAAAACCCAUCCACAACCUCAGAAACCAUUCCUCCUCCAUCUCUGCCGAUUUCCACCACCAUUCUUCAUAUCCACACCUUCCACACAACACCCACACACCAUCCCCAAGCCUUGCCGUGCCUCUAUACCAUCCAUAAUCCAUUCUACAUCACAAAAACAGCCCAGAAACCACACCAUCCCAAUCUGCCGCAAGGGGAAGAGAAGGAGACAGUUCACAAAGUUGUUUGGCUCUUCAAUCUGAGUUGUUGAACAAUUUUAGGUGUAUUCUAUCUUAUAUUUCAAUGUCUACUUCUUGUAAUCUUUGUUUUUCAUUGAGUAUGAUUGGCUAAAUUCGUUUUGGCUAAGGGUGUAUUCGAAACCAUGUUUAUUUAUGUGAAAUAAAUUGAUUACUUCCAGUUAUCGUUUCAUAAGUCGUGAAUACAAUUUUUAACCGUUUAAUUCAAAACUUAUUCUUGUAUGUUGAUUGAGAGUGCACACUUGAUUUGCAUGCUGGAAUUUGGUGCUAGAAUAUAAGUUUGUUUCACCUAAUCGUUAUGAAUUUAUAUUCGCAAGUAGUGAAGAUCGCUAGUCACGAUCGUGUUAAGUAGAUUCAUGGCAGGAGUAUCAUGCUUUUCAUAGUUACAAUUGCCUUGUCGAUGCUUAUGAUUUCCAAAGAACUUAAUGAUUCUAACUUGUAUCUUUAUCAUGCUGUUCAUAUAGAGAACUUGUUAGGAAUAAUUUGUUUGCGAUGCAUAUUCAUCCAAUUCAAUGAUUCUAGGGAAAUCUGAAAGUUAAUUUAAGCGAACCUAAUUAACUUGGAGUGUCGAGGUUCAUAAUUUAUUGAAUUGAUAACUGGAAAUCGAUUUACGUUGCAUAAAUUUCAUGGGUGGAGAAGAACCCCUUAGCCAUUCCAUCAUCCAUUGAUUCAUCACAUUUAGUUUACAAUCUGUUUUAAUUUACAAUCUGUGCAUUUAGUUCAAAUUCGUCCAAACACAAUUCCCCCAUAUUUUGUUAAGUUUGAGUCUUCAUAAUCUGUCCUCUUUGGUGUUUUUAAGUAUUUUGAGUCAUAAGUUUUGUCAAAUUCGUCCAAAUCUUGUCUUAGUUGCUGUUUGAGUCAAUUAACUUGUUUUAGUCAGUUUUGGGCAGAUUUGAGUGUUUCAAAUCUGUUUUGAAUCUUAGUAGUCUAAUUAGAGUCUUUAAGUUUAGUUUUUGUGUUUCUAAGUCGAUUUGUAUUAGAUUAGCACCCCUAGUUAAUCCCCGGUUAGAACGAUCCCUACUUACAUCAUUACUACAAUUGCCACAAAUAGGGUUUAAUUUGUGUGUCAAGUUAUUUUACGCAUCACAUGUUUUUGGGAAAAUUCGGCCAAAUCCAAAUGGUGGAUUUUUGGGUUCAUGUUUGACUUGUUAAAAGUGUUUUCAAGUGAUUUUGGAACCCCUAUGUACCCUAGUUUGGUUAUAUGUUAUUUCCCUUAAGUUUGAAUGGUUUUGGGUGAAAAAUGUUCAUGGAAAUUUUUGAGGUUUUCAUGAGUGUUCUUCAUUGUUCUUGACAUUUUUGCCAAGAACAAAAAGUUUGGUGUUUUGAUUCGAAGUUUUGAUUUAUUUCAUAAAGUUUAUGUUUUAUGUUUUUCUUAUGUUUAAAUGUAUUAGAUAUUUGUUUAGAAAGGUGAUGGAAUUAUUGGUGGGUGUGUAAGGAUUAAUUCCCUUUCACACACACCACUUGCACCACUUGCAUGCUUUAUGUCAAACUUACCAAUCAACACACACAUCACUCCUUUCACCUCUCCAAAACCGGCCACUCCCUCAAUGGGAGUACUUUUGGGGCUUUUAUGCAAUUACAUAAAGUUGUGAUACUUUUGUGUAUUUGCACUUUGGCUCAAAAGUUUACGUUUUUACGUUUAGGUCCAAAAACGCUAAAGGACAAAUUGUUUUGCUCCUUUGAUGAAGUUUUUACAUUUGUUGAAAUUUUUGGGUUCUAGUUGUAAUUACAUGAAGUAGUGGACUUUUGUGUUUUUACAAAGUGACCCCAAAAGUUUAUGUUUUUGCAAUAUAGCCCAAAAGUUGAGGUUAUUCCAUUUUGGCCCAAAUUAAGUUGAGAACAAAAUUGUUUUGUCUCUUUAAAUGAGAAUUGGAUUUUCAUUUCAUUUAGCUCCAUUUAAAUCAAUUUUAUGGAUACAAAAACCAAUUGAAAAUGUUGCAUUCAAUUUAAUUAGUUAAAGUGUUAAUUAAUUAAAGGGUGAUUAUGAACCUAAGCCUACGAUAAUUGAGCUAUGUGAAAGGCCGUUUCAAAUUUGUUUGAACCAUGGGAAUGUGUAGAUUAGAUUUUGUUUGUAAUUUGAUUUGAUCAAAUGUUGUAAAAGAGCAUAAGCUCUUCUUUACUUUAAAGUAAUUUGUUUUAUU
RNAcentral lists this long non-coding RNA (3550 nucleotides) under Malus domestica (apple). Its description in RNAcentral is "long non-coding RNA (MDOM_LNC019725)". Lineage: Eukaryota; Viridiplantae; Streptophyta; Magnoliopsida; Rosales; Rosaceae. The record is from RNAcentral.